RNAcentral lists this ribosomal RNA (441 nucleotides) under Bacteroides fragilis. RNAcentral describes it as "bacterial SSU rRNA". It matches the Rfam family "Bacterial small subunit ribosomal RNA", at positions 183 to 623 of the family's 1533-position model. The record is from RNAcentral. Lineage: Bacteria; Pseudomonadati; Bacteroidota; Bacteroidia; Bacteroidales; Bacteroidaceae.
GAUUCCGCAUGGUUUCAUUAUUAAAGGAUUCCGGUAAAGGAUGGGGAUGCGUUCCAUUAGGUUGUUGGUGAGGUAACGGCCCACCAAGUCUUCGAUGGAUAGGGGUUCUGAGAGGAAGGUCCCCCACAUUGGAACUGAGACACGGUCCAAACUCCUACGGGAGGCAGCAGUGAGGAAUAUUGGUCAAUGGGCGAUGGCCUGAACCAGCCAAGUAGCGUGAAGGAUGACUGCCCUAUGGGUUGUAAACUUCUUUUAUAUUAGAAUAAAGUGCAGUAUGUAUACUGUUUUGUAUGUAUAAUAUGAAUAAGGAUCGGCUAACUCCGUGCCAGCAGCCGCGGUAAUACGGAGGAUCCGAGCGUUAUCCGGAUUUAUUGGGUUUAAAGGGAGCGUAGGUGGACUGGGAAGUCAGUUGUGAAAGUUUGCGGCUCAACCGUAAAAUUG